This 1405-nucleotide small RNA is filed under the name Histoplasma capsulatum var. duboisii H88. RNAcentral's name for it is "Histoplasma capsulatum H88 hypothetical RNA". The record is from RNAcentral. Lineage: Eukaryota; Fungi; Ascomycota; Eurotiomycetes; Onygenales; Ajellomycetaceae.
UGCUAUCCGAGUAACUUUUUGUUAUCUGCCAUGAACGUACUGUACAUGCCAGCCUAACAGUGGCCCAAAUAUACAAAGCUCCCGGUUUUCCAGGCCAAACUCGGAGAGAUUCGCCGUCAAGAAGUCUCGCUGGUCAUUCAUGUGGAUGUUCCUGGGCCGUGGUGAGAACGGUGGAGCUCGGCCGCGGCGGCGGUGCGUGAUAUCUCAGAUCGCUCCAUAUCCGAGGCAUUGAUUGCUCGUGUAAUACACAAGAUAACCAUGACAAACAAUCAACUAACCUUCCAACCACAUGCAAUCAUGCCACCAUGCGUCCCUCCGGCAUAACAGCACAUUCUAAGGAAUAUAUAUUCAAAGGCUGUAUUGUGAGAAGGACAAAAGAAACAAAAGAAAGGAACAUGGGAUCUAAAAAAAAAAUCUCAAGCUGUACGUCACUUUGUUUAUAACAGCAUCAAAAGAAACCAUGAAGCCCUGUUGAUGAUUUCCAUUUCUGCUCUCCGAUUACAUACCGCUCAACUAGUUUUUGACAGCUCCAGAAUGUCGACUUCAUCUCAACUUUCACCUUAGUCACACGCCUUCAUCGGGCGAGAGGACUCGCCUCCCUUUGAGGCUAUGCUCGCGCGUCCGUGCCGCCUGACUAUCUCAUCAACCCUGAUGGUGCAGCCCAUCCUAUUUCUCCCGAGUAUUCCGUCUACUGUUUUUUUAACAGCACUUUGGCGGCUGCUGCGACCUUCACGAGGAUCCUAGACCUUGUAGAAGAACCAACAGUUAGAAGCGCCAAGAUCAUCGGUUACACUCUGGGCAAAGUGAGGAGGGAGUGUGAAUCAUGCAUAUAUAUAUCUUGAGGAAUAGGAUGCUAUUUUAAGGAUUGAUCCUUUUUGGCGUAACUAGUGGCAAAGCCUUCCUACAAGAUUGCAUGUUUUACAGGGAGAGUAUCCUGCUUUGAUCGACGGUGGGCCAGGGCAAGUUGUUUCCAGAUUUGCGGAUAUUAUGGAGUUCGAAGAGUCGGCUCAAAAACUCGCCUACUACGAGAUGAACGUGUGCAAGGUCGCUGCUUUGCUGGAUUUUCUUUACAGACAAUGGGCCGCUGGCAGAAGUGUUACUAUCUGGUAAGACAUUUAAGUACUAGUAUUCUGGGGACCCGAAAAACCUCGCUGGAGCAACGAUUAAAUCGUCAACUUUGGACCUUGCAAAUAGGGCGCAGCGUGGGAUGAGUUUCUGUGGGAAUGUUUUGAACAUAUUGAAUGUAUUUCCACAUCUGAUUGAAUUGGCUCUACAGAAUUAAUAAACGAACAACGUUGGAUAUCCUUAUGUGACACUGUAGGAUAACUAUAACUACUGCUCUAUCUCAUAUGUAUCUAGUAUAUAUCUUCACAAUAGUAUAUUUAUAAAUAAAUGAACAACAUUC